UGAUGUGCUCCUUAGACACGCCUAGGUCCUGUACAAGUGGUUGGCAUCGGAGAGAUGUCUUGACCCGAUCCCUCCAACGCUCAAGUCAGUAGAGUAUAUGGAGGGGGUUUAGUAGAAUUCAGAAGAGUUGAGAUAGAGACCGCUUGCCCCCAUUUGGCUUGGGAGCCUGAGUUUUAUACCUGAGAGAUCAAUGGCGUGAGACGAGCGAUGGGCAAGGGUGUCCCUUACCCUGCUAGGAGAUCAUUGAUGGUGGUAGCUGACGAGCAUGUCCUUUGAAGGAUGAUAUCAGGGUAGGAUGCCCGUAAUGAUAUGCUUUGUCAUAGCCCUUGGCCUGUCAUAAUGCUCGGUGUCUUCUAUGCCCGAAUAUCUUUGUAAACUGUGUUCUUGUCGACCGGGGCCAUUAAUGGCCUUUAAGAUGGCCAACCGGCUUGCCGCCACCCCAAGACUCCUUUUAGGGUCCACUAUGAGGGGCUGACUCAGGAUAUGAGAGUGUGGGAGAGCGCCUCGGUCGCAAGUGAGUAUUGUUGGGGGUCGCUCAGCCUUACUCUGAACAAAUUGGUGUAAUACACCCCCACAAAGUCUUUAGUCAACCAAUGCAAUCGUAAUGAGGUUCCGGUAGGUUCUUGCACAUGGGUCCUUUUUUUCCAUUGCUCCUCGACAUUGACCCAUCCAUUUUGAACAGCAUCACCAUUACAUGAGGGGUCUUGCUGACCGAGCGCAUGACGUCAAGGUAUUGGUGGACGAAUUGUCUCGGGUGAAUGAGGGUCUCCAAGAGAGGGUCGUCGAGUUAGAGAAGAGGCUUCUCUCGUCGACUGAGGAUGCUCCAAUCGCCAAGACAAUUGAUUUGCUGGGGCAGGCUUGAUGAUAAUUGGAAGAUGCCAAGCAGCGUCUGGAGGUCCUGUGACAAAGGUUGGAGGACACUGAGGAGAGGGGCCACCAUUUGAAGGACUAUUUGUAGAUGCACUUUGAUGAGUUGAUGGCCACCAGGAUCAAGGCCCAGGAAGCUAAAGAGCUCCUGG
RNAcentral lists this long non-coding RNA (1019 nucleotides) under Musa acuminata (dwarf banana). RNAcentral describes it as "long non-coding RNA (MACU_LNC006806)". The record is from RNAcentral. Lineage: Eukaryota; Viridiplantae; Streptophyta; Magnoliopsida; Zingiberales; Musaceae.